This 253-nucleotide ribosomal RNA is filed under the name uncultured bacterium. RNAcentral's name for it is "partial 16S ribosomal RNA". It matches the Rfam family "Bacterial small subunit ribosomal RNA", at positions 524 to 776 of the family's 1533-position model. The record is from RNAcentral.
UACGAAGGGGGCUAGCGUUGUUCGGAAUUACUGGGCGUAAAGCGUGCGCAGGCGGCUUCUCAAGUCCGGGGUGAAAGCCCAGAGCUCAACUCUGGAAUUGCCUUUGAGACUGAGUGGCUUGAGUACGGGAGAGGUGAGUGGAAUUCCCAGUGUAGAGGUGAAAUUCGUAGAUAUUGGGAAGAACACCGGUGGCGAAGGCGGCUCACUGGCCCGUAACUGACGCUCAUGCACGACAGCGUGGGGAUCAAACAGG